Saccostrea cuccullata (small rock oyster) is the source of this 427-nucleotide long non-coding RNA. RefSeq lists it as uncharacterized. The record is from RefSeq and is a predicted model, not a curated record. NCBI's taxonomy places the organism in Eukaryota, Metazoa, Mollusca, Bivalvia, Ostreida, Ostreidae. The transcript is spliced from 3 exons.
AUGUACUACUUCCGCGUAUUAAUCUAAAAUGAGACGAUUCAGCGUGAAAUUAUUGUAAACAAACCCACAUGGAGUACAAAUGAUUUACAAUGGAAGUGACAGGCUUCUCUUCAACAUUAGCAAGGAUGGACCAAAGCUAUGAAAAUUGGACAGUCUCAAAGACACAAUUUUAGUCAGUAUAGAUGUGUCCUUACGGAGGCAGCUAACAAAUAGCAGGAUAAUUAACAUUGCAUGGUGAACAUGUAGAAAUUUCGCUCUGUGUCAUCUCUAAAUAAGAAAAGCUCAACUCAGCACAACCGCAGUCCGAUACUGUGACUAUUCUCAUGAUUCUGUCAGAAGGUGAGUACAUGUAUAUUUAAAUCAAUUUAAUAUAUUUCAAGUGGGAUAAGUGUCAUAAGUUAUGAUACAUAUAUGUUUGAUAGCAUAA